UACGUAGGGGGCAAGCGUUGUCCGGAUUUAUUGGGCGUAAAGAGCUCGUAGGCGGCUCAGCAAGUCGGUCGUGAAAACCCGGGGCUCAACCCCGGGAGGCCGGUCGAUACUGCUGUGGCUAGGGUCCGGUAGAGGAGAGUGGAAUUCCCGGUGUAGCGGUGGAAUGCGUAGAUAUCGGGAGGAACACCAGUGGCGAAGGCGACUUCCUGGCCUGUUCUUGACGCUGAGGCGCGAAAGCUAGGGGAGCAAACGGG
Molecule: ribosomal RNA, 254 nt
Filed under: uncultured bacterium
Lineage: Bacteria
Description: partial 16S ribosomal RNA
Rfam family: Bacterial small subunit ribosomal RNA
Source: RNAcentral